GGUCGGGUGGCAGAGUGGUCGAAUGCACCGGUUUUGAAAACCGGCGUGGGGAAACUCACCGGGGGUUCGAAUCCCUCCCCGACCGC
Molecule: transfer RNA, 86 nt
Filed under: Posidoniimonas corsicana
Lineage: Bacteria; Pseudomonadati; Planctomycetota; Planctomycetia; Pirellulales; Lacipirellulaceae
Also listed under: 1 other name
Description: Planctomycetes bacterium KOR34 tRNA-Ser
Rfam family: tRNA
About the family: Transfer RNA (tRNA) molecules are approximately 80 nucleotides in length. Their secondary structure includes four short double-helical elements and three loops (D, anti-codon, and T loops). Further hydrogen bonds mediate the characteristic L-shaped molecular structure. tRNAs have two regions of fundamental functional importance: the anti-codon, which is responsible for specific mRNA codon recognition, and the 3' end, to which the tRNAs corresponding amino acid is attached (by aminoacyl-tRNA synthetases). tRNAs cope with the degeneracy of the genetic code in two manners: having more than one tRNA (with a specific anti-codon) for a particular amino acid; and 'wobble' base-pairing, i.e. permitting non-standard base-pairing at the 3rd anti-codon position.
Source: RNAcentral